Molecule: non-coding RNA, 71 nt
Organism: Paraphysoderma sedebokerense
Lineage: Eukaryota; Fungi; Blastocladiomycota; Physodermatomycetes; Physodermatales; Physodermataceae
Source: the annotation of a GenBank genome assembly
GCGUAAGUAGUAUAGCGGUAGAAUACUUGCCUUCCAAGCAAGUGGCCGGGGUUCGACUCCCCGCUUACGCA